GCCUAACACAUGCAAGUCGAGCGGUAACAUUUCAAAAGCUUGCUUUUGAAGAUGACGAGCGGCGGACGGGUGAGUAAUGCCUGGGAAUUUGCCCAUUUGUGGGGGAUAACAGUUGGAAACGACUGCUAAUACCGCAUACGCCCUACGGGGGAAAGCAGGGGACCUUCGGGCCUUGCGCUGAUGGAUAAGCCCAGGUGGGAUUAGCUAGUAGGUGAGGUAAAGGCUCACCUAGGCGACGAUCCCUAGCUGGUCUGAGAGGAUGAUCAGCCACACUGGGACUGAGACACGGCCCAGACUCCUACGGGAGGCAGCAGUGGGGAAUAUUGCACAAUGGGGGAAACCCUGAUGCAGCCAUGCCGCGUGUGUGAAGAAGGCCUUCGGGUUGUAAAGCACUUUCAGCGAGGAGGAAAGGGUGUAAGUUAAUACCUUACAUCUGUGACGUUACUCGCAGAAGAAGCACCGGCUAACUCCGUGCCAGCAGCCGCGGUAAUACGGAGGGUGCGAGCGUUAAUCGGAAUUACUGGGCGUAAAGCGUGCGCAGGCGGUUUGUUAAGCGAGAUGUGAAAGCCCCGGGCUCAACCUGGGAACCGCAUUUCGAACUGGCAAACUAGAGUCUUGUAGAGGGGGGUAGAAUUCCAGGUGUAGCGGUGAAAUGCGUAGAGAUCUGGAGGAAUACCGGUGGCGAAGGCGGCCCCCUGGACAAAGACUGACGCUCAGGCACGAAAGC
This 727-nucleotide ribosomal RNA is filed under the name Shewanella algae. RNAcentral's name for it is "bacterial SSU rRNA". It matches the Rfam family "Bacterial small subunit ribosomal RNA", at positions 46 to 760 of the family's 1533-position model. The record is from RNAcentral. Lineage: Bacteria; Pseudomonadati; Pseudomonadota; Gammaproteobacteria; Alteromonadales; Shewanellaceae.